AUGGUGAGCGCGAGCGACGCCAUGUCCGACGAAUGCAAAGCGAUGCGGCCGCCGAUGGUGAUGGGCACGAUGGUGCUGCAACCGCAGUUCGCCGCGGCUGCAACCGUGCCCGGGGAAAGCUGGAAUCAUGAUCUGGCGAGCUGUGAGGCUCCUACAUGCUGGAGAGGAGGGUUGCUACAACCGCAGCCAAAAAAGCUGGAAGCACUGUCCGGCUGUGCUGGACCCAUCGCCCGGUGGAGCUGCAAGGUGAUGCCCCUGCUGGCUGGAUGCUGCAACCGUGUUCUGUCAGAGCUGGAUCCAUAG
This 303-nucleotide ribosomal RNA is filed under the name Triticum aestivum (bread wheat). Its description in RNAcentral is "partial small subunit ribosomal RNA". Lineage: Eukaryota; Viridiplantae; Streptophyta; Magnoliopsida; Poales; Poaceae. The record is from RNAcentral.